UUCUCCCUAAAUAAAAACCAGCAGUUUGUUGAAGCUGUUGUUUCCAAGCGGAAGCCUAAAUAAACAUCUUUUUUAUGGUCUGAUGGUCAUUUCAGGACUUUGGAAAUGUAAUGGCAAUUCAUUAGGAAGAAAUAUCU
Molecule: small nucleolar RNA, 137 nt
Organism: Tupaia belangeri (northern tree shrew)
Lineage: Eukaryota; Metazoa; Chordata; Mammalia; Scandentia; Tupaiidae
Source: Ensembl